This 12090-nucleotide long non-coding RNA is filed under the name Arachis ipaensis. RNAcentral's name for it is "long non-coding RNA (AIPA_LNC000684)". The record is from RNAcentral. Lineage: Eukaryota; Viridiplantae; Streptophyta; Magnoliopsida; Fabales; Fabaceae.
AUAAAAGAAGUUACCUACGCGGUAUAAAUGAUCAUCCUGCUCCAAGCAUAGGUUCAUUAAGUCUAUGCUGAACCAGUCAGAUACUUUAUACAAAACUAGACCUCAAACGUACCAGUCACGACCUCAAGCCCAAACAACUCAAUCAACAUCCAAUCACUACAAUCCAAACAAUCAGUUACAAACACAGGUAAUGAGGUUCAAACAAAAUCAAGAGCAAUUACAUCAAGUAUAGUAAUUAGCAAUUAAACAGAAUUAUUCACUUAGGCAAACCAAUUACAAUAUACACACCCAAGCAAUGUCACAUAGAUGCAUAUGAUGAAUGUCUAGUCCUAGUGCAGGCCAUGAGCUCAUGUGUCGGUUAGCACCUGCAUUCCCGACAUUUAUCCGGUUACGAGUUCACGAUUUCCCGGAUACGAUUUUCCGUUCAAAUAAAUGCGCAUAUAACUAUUAGCAGCUCUAUUGAGACAGCCUCUGCUUUCUACUCGCAGGAAAUAUAUACUCUUGGGAACGGAAAAUUAUUCUUGGGUUGUCUCAGGGCAACAGAUAAAUAAGCAAACAUCUCUUGGGUUGCAUUAAGCAACAAACAAAUAAAUAAUAUCUCUUGGGUUGCAUUAAGCAACAAAUAAAUAUAUAAUAUCUCUUGGGUUGCAUUAAGCAACAAAUAUAUAUAUAAUAUCUCUUGGGUUGACGCAAGCAACAAACAAACAUCUCUUGGGUUGCCGCAAGCAACAAACAAACAUCUCUUGGGUUGCUUCAAGCAACAAACAAAUAAACAAAUAUCUCUUGGGUUGCCUCAAGCAACAGAUAAUCAUACAAUAAGUACUUUACUCUUUCCUUUUUCUUUCUUAAUUGCAAGUACGCAAGUGGGAUAAGACCCACGCCCUUGCCAACAAUCCCGUAUACCAAAUAAUAUUUUCUUGAAAGAUUCAUUGAAGUUAUUAUCAUUAAAUAAGCCUUAAAUAUUGAUUUUGAUUAAGUCCUUGUACUUUUAUAAAAAUUUGGACAUAAUCUCCUUUAAAAAUAGGACUUAGCCACCCCUACGGGUUCCUUCUUUCUCAACAUUUCAUCAGCCUCUUUCAGCAGUUGCCACAACAAUAUAUAUUCUCAAAAACAUUUGAUAAUAGUAUAGAAAAUCUAUUUCUUAAAUUCCAUAUCCAAAAUAAUUGCCAACACAACUUGGCAGCCUGAUUUCUAUUUUGUUUUUAAAAUAUCAAAUGAAUUCGGAACCACGCAAACUUUAUAUCCAUGCGACCGUCUCGGAUUAAGCUUUCUAUUAAAUCAAAAAUCAUAAUUUUUUGCUGACUCUAGCUUCGGGAAUAUAAGCAAAACCGUGACUGCUCUGCAGUAUUUUAAAACCAGAAGACAGCAGCAGCAUACAACAUUCGAAAUUUCAUAUAAAAUUCAAAUUAAAUCCAACUACCUUCAAAAUUACUGUGGUUAAACAUAACUCAUCCAAAUUUCUUUCUCAAUUUGUUCCAGGGUCAUACCAUUUUUAAUGAAGAAGUAACGUAGCUUCGAAGUUAGAUAAUUCUCUGCAGAAUUCUGUUUUACAAAUCAUUGAACACAACCUCUUCCUAGUCCCAUAACUCACUUAUUAAAACAUAAAAAACCCUGAAAUUUAAAUCACAUAUGCUAAACAUACUUAAUUUUCACCUCCAAUUGGUUUCAUCUCAAUAUCUAUCUAGGAUCAAAAGUUAUAAACUCCCAAAGUUACUAAUUUAAGAAAACAGAAUCUGGCUUUUUCUGCAUAAUGCAUCAUCCUUCAAAAAUUCAUAUCUUUAAAACUACAAGUCCAAUUGUUCUGAAAUUUUAUGGCAUUAAAAUAAUAUGAAUAAAGUUUUAUUUAAAAUUAGUUUCAUUUCAAAAUUCAAACUGCUGAAUUUCCAAUAGAGGAAUCAAGUUGCUGCUGUGUUAAACGUUCUGCAGAAAAACCAGAUUUGACAUCCAUAAUUCAAAAAUUUACCAUAAAUCAUAAACUUAAUGAAAAAGUCUCAAAUUCACUAGUCCAACUCCCUAUAUACCCAAUCUUAAUCCAGACUUAGUCCCAUACAAAUAUGAUCAUCAUAGAAUUAGUUAUAGAUUUUCAAAGUUUCUAAUUUCAUUUAAAGUAGUGCAGAAAAUCAGAUUCACGACUUAACUUUGAAAAAUCAUAACUAAUGUUUUCAGUUAAUAUGAAACUUUCAAAAUUAAAUCUCAACAAUCACACUUAAUAUAAUUUACUUAACAUUUAAAUUCUCAUCAUUUCAGUCACUAUAGAGCCACUGAUUCACUUUCAAAGUUGCUGUUUAAUUUCAGUAAACCAUUUUGUAUUCAAAAUCCAACCCUUCAAUACCCCUCAAAACCAAUUCCAAAUCAACCAUCAACCAAGUUCAUUAAUAUUACAAUAUACCAAAUAACAGCUCAGCGACAACAAAUCCAACAUUACCCAUUAAAAUUCAUAAAUUCUCAACAAUUAGUCAUCAAACAAUUCCCAAUCCACAUAAUCAAUCAAUAUCACUAAUCAACAAUUCCAAAUCACAAUCUCAACCAUUCCAAUCACAAUUUCAGCCACAAUUCAAUAUUCACAUAAUUAAUCAAUUACUCACAGCUAUUAAAUCUAUUUGCAGUUAUUCAAUAAACCUUGUCGGCAUUCUUAAAUUGAACUCGUUUUAAACCCCCUACCUCGAUUAGCCGAAAUUCGAUAAUUAAGCGCAGCCAACCCCUCUUUCAUCUUAAUUCGUAGCAGCAACUGACUCGAACCAAGCUAGCAACAGCAGCAGCAGCAGCAACUCUUACAGUUCUCUAUUAUCACUAACACUAUCACCUUUGAUAGUUUCAUCAGCAAACAGGGAAGGCAUAGCAGCAGCGUUAAACAGAGACAUAGGUUUUCCUUACUCAUAACAGAGAAGACUAAGAAAUAAAAUGGAAGCAGAGUAAGGAUUAAAGCUUACAGGUUCAAGAAUAGGAAAAUCAGAACCAGAACAAGAAGGCUGGUGCUGUUUUAAACUCUGGUGACAGUGCACGACUCACCAACGAUCCUGACAGCGGCGGAGGUCCUUUCUCCCUCUCCUCUGCGUGUAUUCUGCGAUGGUGACAGCUUGGAGUGGACUCCACCCAUGACCAGAGGCACGGCGGCGCAGCCUCAGAAGUGGCUAUGAGGCUAGCAACAGCAAGACAGUUCGAUGGUGAUGAAGGCACGACGGAGGCACAGCGGCGCUACUCUUCACACACGAGCUCCCCUCUCCUCUGGUAUGCGAUGACAGUGGCGCUAAUUGAAGCUCCAUGGACAGCGGCGACAGAACCCUACCAGUGGCAGUGGUGGAUCGGUCGCGUUGGAGGCACAGCUACGUCCCCUUUCUCUCGGCCUUGACUCGCGUUACGACGUCGUCUUCUCUUCUCCAUGGAAGUGUUGACGAUGGUGGAACGGGCUCGGCGUGACAACCUGCUGGACGGUGGCGGUGCGCGAUGAGGACGACGGCAGCGGCAGUCAAGCGCGACAGCAGCGGCGUCUUCUUUCUCUUCUUCCCGCAAAUCUCUUUCUCUGCUCUACGUUGUGUGACCGUUGGGGUAAGGAAGUGUGGCUGGCAGCUGCUGAGGGUUGGAGGAAAUUAGGUUAGGGUUUCUGAUUUUCAAUUUGGGAAUUAGGGUUUGAAAUUAGGAUUUUAUAAAAGAAUAUAGAUAGAUAUGAAUAGAUAUUUUGAUAAAAUUGAAAGGUAGAGUAAUUUUAAAACCAAAUAUACUCUCUUAAAAAUACUUAAGAAUAUUAUUUAUCAAUAUAUUGCUAAGUUGAACUGAUUAUUUCUAAUUUAAAUUAUAAAAUAAGCAUAUUAAUCACAUUUUUAUAAAAUACAGUUUAAACUCAAAACUAAUUAUUCAAAUUAAAUAAUAUAACUUUUUAUUAUUUUUCUAUCACCGAAACUUUAAUUUCAAUUUACAAAAUAUCUAAUUAUAAUAAAAUUACUUAAACUUAAAGUAUUUAUAAAAAUCCAUUUAAUCAUUCCUAAUAAAUUAAUCUCUAGGAGCUCAAACUAAUAAAAUAAACCAUAAUUUAUCCAUAAUAAAAAUUAUUUAAAUUAAAUUAUACAAUUUUCAAAAUAUAUAAAAUAACCAACUAUAAAAAUUUACACAAGAAUAUUAAUUAACUUAACUCCUGUUCGGUAAGUCGGGUAUCGGACGGUUCGGAUCAGGACCCUGAGGUCAAUACUUCGGAGGGUGGAGAGGCUCGCCUGGUCGUGACCUCCUGGUUCCGGGCGAGCGAGGUCCCGAGCACUUCUGAUGGAGAAGGGGGGUGCCACCUGCAAAGACACUCCGACGCCCUUGUCAGAAUAUGUGCAGGCGGAGAGGGAAUGAUGUGUGAAUGGGACGUACCUUGGGGGGAGAGCCAGUCUCCCCCUUAUAUACAUGUCAGUAGUGGGCCCUUCCAGUGGGCAGGCCCAUACCCUCAAAGGUGUUGUCCCACGGCUGUGUGCAAGCCGUACGGGACGCGUGUCCGGGUCGGGUGGAGGACGCACCAUUGGGCCGGCGAGGACUCGGGUCGGGUUGACCCGCGUGAGUUUUGGGCCAGGCCGUAACAGUGCCCCCGACGCGUCAGUGAUGGCCGUGGGGGCCAUUGGUGGCGCGUGAUGUUUACACUCGUGCGUUGUCGUUGGGUCGGCUGAUCGUGGGAGGGACGCGUCUCUUGUGCGCGUGUCUCUUGAUCUGCUGUGGCAUCUGUUUGCCGUUUCGUUCUCCGCGCUGGGCAUUUAAUGCUCAUAAUGAUUUGAAAAAACCCGUGCGUAAAGACUAUCUUGCCCCUGCUUCCUUUCGCGCUUUUGGGGGUGGUUUUUAAACAGUUUUCUCCCUAUCCACCCCCCACUCUUAUCAUUUCCAACUUCUUCUCUCCCUGACAUCCAAAGUUUCCUGCGUGAACUCCUUCCUGCUUCAACUUCCAGCCCAGAUUUCUUUCAUCGUUCCAGGUAAUCUUCUGAUUUCUCUCUUCUGGUGUCUGUGUUAUGCUCUGUUAUUGUGUGAUUUUUUGUUUGCAUCUACUGCAUGGCUGGUUUUAUUUUUGUUAAGAGGUUUUUUCAGUGUUGGGAUAGGUGGGUUAGGAGAGGGGUACCAUUCCAGGAUAGGCUUUUUUGGGUGGUUUGUGAGGUAGGCGUGGUUUUUAGCCGUAUCUGGUCAUGAUUGAGUUGAAAAGGCGUAGUUUCUGAGUUUUUUCGGGCUCCCGGCCUCAUAGACUAACGGAGUGGUACCCCGCUGUAGGUAUGCCUCGUGUUGUCUCCCGGUCUUCCGGAUCCGCUGCGGCUUACGACCCGUAUGCUUGGGUGACAGACGAUAUAAGGAGUUCACCCAACCAGAUGGACUUGGAGGAAUUGACGGAGUUCCGGCAAGCCGGUUACCUGUGUGGGGGUCCUUCUUCUUUCCGGUUUGACGACUAACGUUCUUGUUCUUUAUUCGUAGUGGAAAUGUCUGCCACCGUGACCGGUCUUGAGAACCUGAUGAAGACCUUUUUUGAGGCUAGUGAUGAUGAGAAUGCCGAAGAAAAGGGGGCCGGCAAGUCGGAGGGUCCGUCAGGGGAAAAAGAGGGUCAGGCUUCCCCUGCCCAGGAUACCGAGACGUCGGGAAAGCAGGGCCUAGGGGGUCAAGUUUCCCCUACCCAUGAGGAGGGACCUGCCGAUGGGAAGGCGACCCUCUCCCCCCAUCCAGAUAGCGACGUGGAGCUUAUCCACACUCCUAAGAAGCGAAAGAUGUCUUCCAGCCCGGAGGGGGUCCUAACCGUAAUGGAGAGGAAUUUUGAUGCCUCCAAGUUCAUUGACUCCCAGUUGAUACCCGGGAAGAAAGAGCAUUUUCAUGCAACCGAGCUAUCCGGACAGGCGAGGUGGAUGUAUCGCACCUUGCUUCGUGGGGCCGUGAUAGCUCGGAAGGCUGAGUUUGAGCUAUCUGGUAUGGAGGCGCUUCGGAGGAAGCUUGAGUCUUCUGUUAAGGCGAAUAACGACUUUAAGGAUCAAGUUGAGCUCCUCCAGGGUCAGCUGUCCGAGAUGGGGGGAAAGCUUAAUGCUGCUGAGGAGAAGUCGUCGUUUAUUGCGAUGUGUUCUUUUCUCUUGGAACGUGCUGGAUAAUGACCUCCUGGAACUGGCUCAUCAUUUGCUUAACCUUUUCCAAGUACUUUUGGAGGAGGGGGUCUCGGGCUUGGUAGCUUCCGUUUACCUGCGAGGUGACGACUUGGGAGUCGCUGCAUACUUCGACCCUCGUCACCCUGACUUCCCGAGCCAGCAUUAGUCCGCCUAGGAGAGCCUUGAGUAAUCCAAUUCCCGGAUGAAUCCCGCUUCUAAGAGGCUGGCCGUUUGCUUGGCUACCUCGUCUGCCCUUUCCUGCGACAUUUUCCUCCUUCUCUGGGCCACUGGUUUGGCUCCUGUCUUUACGGCCAGGUGGUGUGACAUGAGCUGGGGGUCUAUUCCUGGCAUGUCGGCAGGCGUCCAGGCGAAGAGGUCGGCGUUAGCCCUGAUCAUCUCCAUCAAAGGCUCCUUUAUUUCGUGCGGGAGGUUCCUGUUUAUGAAUGUGAACUUAUCGUGCUCCUCGCCGACUCUGAACUUCUCCAAGUCUCCUUCUGGCUCUGGUCUGGGUUUGUCGUCUACCCUGGCGUCCAGGUCGGCCAGGAAAACUCCUGACGCCUCCUUUGAUUUUUUUCUGAGGGAAAGGCUGGCAUGGUCGCAAGCGACUGCCGUUUCCAAGUCGCCCCGAAGGGAUCCCACGGAUCCGUCAUCGGUGAUGAACUUCAUCACCAGUAGUUUCGUACUGAUAGCUGCCCCCAGGUCGUUAAUGGUCUUUCUCCCCAGGAUGAUGUUAUAGGCCGUUGAAUCUCGUAAUAUUACAAAGUCUGCCAUGAUUGUCCUUCGUCUUUGCCCUUGUCCCACAGAUGUCGGGAGUGUGAUGAUUCCAUCUGGCUUUAUGAAGUGGUCUCCUAACCCUACCACACCGUGCUGGUGGGUCGUCAGGUCGGAAUCUCUCAAUCCCAGGGCAUCGAAAACGUUUCGGAACAUGAUGUUUGAGUCUGCCCCCGUGUCUACCAGGAUUCGUUUGACGAGGCCAGUUCCGACCCUAGCCGUGAUGACCAUGGGCGGACUUUCCGGCGCUUCGUCGAACCAUUGGUCCUCCGGGCCGAAAGAGAUAGGUGGGAGACCCUUAAGACCUCUACCAGGUGGGGCGGAGAUCGCUAAGACCUUGGCAUCUUUCUUCUGCGCCGAUUUCGACCUCGGGGCGGUGUUCCUGGCCGUCACCACGUUUACCAUUGUGAGACCGUGGUCGUCACCCUCUGGCUCCUGUCGUCGUCUUGUUGGUCGGGAUCUGUCCUCGUUGUCGUUGUCCCGGUUGCGUCUCCUUGGUUCCCUUAUAAGGUGGGAGAAGUCGGCGAGUUUGCCGUCCCUGAUAGCUUGCUCGAGGGUGUCCUUUAGGUCAAAGCAGUCUUGGGUCUUGUGCCCGUAACCCUUGUGGUACUCGCAGUAGAGGUUCUUGUUUCCUCCCGUCCUGUCCUUCAGUGGUCGGGGCUUCGACAGUAUCCCCUUUUCUGCUAUCUGUUGGUAAACUUCAGUGAUCGAUGCCGUAAGGGGGGUGUAGUUGGUGAACCUCCCAACUCGGGGGAACGGUUUGGAUGGUUUGCUCGGACCGCCGUCCUUGGCGUGUUCCUUUGGUCUUUCUCUGGCUUCGAAGUGCCGGGAUUGGUUGUAGGCGGGCUGCCGCUUAUUGGCAGCCACGACCCGGCUGACUUCCUCGUCAUUAAUGUAUUCUUUGGCCACGCACUGGAUCUCUUGCAUCGUCCAGACGGGCUUCGUGGUGAGGUGUUUCCUGAAAUCCUCAUUCGACAGCCCGUUCGUUAAGCACAAACUUGCCACCGAGUCCGUCAGACCGUCAAUCUCCAAGCACUCGUCAUUAAAACGGUCCAGGUACUUCCUGGUCGGCUCUCCGGGUCUCUGUGUCACCCCCAGCAAAUUGAUUGGGUGUUUGGCUUUGACAAUCCUAGUUGUGAACUGAGCCAAGAAGGCGCGGCUGAUGUCGGUAAAUUGGGUCACCGAGCCUUGCGGGAGGUUGUUAAACCACCGUAUUGCCGGGCCCGCUAAGGUGACCGGGAAAGCGCGACAUCUGACCUCGUCUCCCACCCCUUCUAGGUUCAUCCUGGCCUCGAAGGCCGUCAAGUGUUCUAGGGGGUCUUGUGUUCCGUCAUACUUCAUGUCUGUCGGUUUGUCGAAAUGUUUUGGUAAUCGGACCUCGAGUACAGAGCGGUGGAAAGGGGUCGCUCCUAUUAUGACAGGUCCUCGGGCAGUUCUUCUCGACUCAUUGUUCUCGCGGUGACGUUCCUCGUUGCCUCUGUUCGACGCGCGCCGCCUUUCGUGUCGGGCGUAGAUAAUGGGGUCGCGACUUCUUCUUCUGGGGCUUAUCCGUUCCUCAGUGCUCUCCGACUCGCAAUGGGGGCUUGGCGUGCGCAUCGAGCGGCUUCUUGAACGGGAACGGGUGGGGCUCCGCUCUGGGGAGCGUUGGUCGCGCUCUCUUUCUGCUAGUCUGCGCUCUAAGUCUUGCAUCCUGUGGCGUAGUUCUUGCAUUAUCCUGGCGUGGUUGUCACCCGUCCCCCCGAAGGGGCGUCUCUCGUGAGUCUGCGUCGCAUCCCUCGUGGGCGACCGUUGCUGCUGCCGGGAUUCCGCCGCGACGGCGCCUCCCCCGAGUAUGGGAGGCGCUACCUCGGAACCAGUCCCAGUCUGGACCAGUACGAAAUCCAUGAACGUCCUUCCCCACAGACGGCGCCAAUGUUCGGUAAGUCGGGUACCGGACGGUUCGGAUCAGGACCCUGAGGUCAAUACUUCGGAGGGUGGAGAGGCUCGCCUGGUCGUGACCUCCUGGUUCCGGGCGAGCGAGGUCCCGAGCACUUCUGAUGGAGAAGGGGGGUGCCACCUGCAAAGACACUCCGACGCCCUUGUCAGAAUAUGUGCAGGCGGAGAGGGAAUGAUGUGUGAAUGGGAUGUACCUUGGGGGGAGAGCCAGUCUCCCCCUUAUAUACAUGUCAGUGUGGGCCCUUCCAGUGGGCAGGCCCAUACCCUCAAAGGUGUUGUCCCACGGCUGUGUGCAAGCCGUACGGGACGCGUGUCCGGGUCGGGUGGAGGACGCACCAUUGGGCCGGCGAGGACUCGGGUCGGGUUGACCCGCGUGAGUUUUGGGCCAGGCCGUAACAACUCCGAAUAUUAAUAAAACUAAUUUAAUUACUCUCAAUUGAUUAAUUUAUAAAAUAAGAUAUCAAAUCAAUAAAAUAAAUCGUAACCUUUUUCAGGAUAAAAGUUACUUAAAUUAAAUUGUACAAUUUCUUUUUUUUUUUAUUUUUCAAUUACUAACAUUAUACAAAAUAUUUAAUUAUAAUAAAUUACUUAAGAAUCUUAUUUGAUUUAAAACGAAAUUAUCUCCGAAUCUAUUUAAUUAUUUCUAAUAAAAUAAUUUCUAAAAUUAUAAAGUUUAAUUUUAAUAAGAUAAAAUCUCAAUUUAUUUAUAUUUAGAUUUCCAAAAACGCGGGAUGUUACAUUCUAUCUAACUUACAAAAGUUUUCGCCCUCAAAAAUUGAUCUAAGAUGGAGAAAAGAUUCAUAUUCACAUCCCCUUUUGAAUAUUUUAAAGAUACCAAGAAAAUUAUAUCACAAACACAGAAGAAAAUAUAUUAGGUGAUGUAAAAGUUAAUAGAAAUAAUUUGAUGCAAACAAAAUUUCAAAAUCUAAAAGUAAAUAUGCAUAAUGUUCGUUCAGAACUCUUAACAAAGCAUGAUCACUUCCUCUCGUAGCCUCAAAACUUCAUGACUCCUUAUAACUUCGUACACUUACCAGACUCACUUUCUCCGCACAAAAAUCGCAUCCCUAAGAACUAACGCAUAUAAGGAAUACGAAACAUGAGAAGAGAAAGACAAGCGGCACGAAAGGUUUAUGUGAGAAAUUAGAAGAAUACUCAAGUUCAUAAUUGUACAAGAUGGUAAUUCGCAAGAUUUUGAAGGAAUACGUGAGAUCGUCAACAAACAAGGAUAUAUAUAAGCAAUGAAAUGGAGCAAAAAGGAAGUUAAUUCAAGGCUUAGGAAGAAAUUAUGAAUCGAACAGUUUCAUAUGAACAUCAUUAGGGAAAAUAGUACAACAAUUUUGAACAACUUCAAUUUGGAAUAGAGGAAAUUAGUUUAUCUUUUUUAAAAGAAUAUAUAUAAAUCUAACAUUUUUUCAAUGUACUAAACUUAGUAUAAAUAAUAUGUUAUAUCAAUUUAAUUUUUAAAUCAAAACAAAUCAUGCAUGGUUUGUAAAUUAAAGCUUGUUUGGCACUAAGGGAAAAAUAUUUUCUUUAAAAAUCUUAAAGGAUACUUAAGUACAUAAUUAGGUAAGAAUAGCUAUAAGAAUAAUAAAGUUGGAAGAAAAUCAGUUUCAAUUCAAAGAAUAUAUUCUAAAAUAAAAUUUUCUAUAAAUCAAUAAAAGAAUAAUGGUAUAUCACAAAUAAACAAGAUUAAACUAUAUAAAGAAAUUUCAGAGUUUAUGUAAGAAAGUUUAGGCUGAAUUAAAAACAAUCUCAUCAAAAUUUGAGUAAGGGUUGUGGAUACAGCCAAGUAAGAAAAGAUUUAAAUUGAAUUUUUUCUCGAAGAGAAUUUGAAACAAGUACUCAAGAAGGAAAUUACAAGAGAUGAUAUGUUGCACCAAAAUAAAUCAGAGUUCAGAGAAAGGAGCAUAGGAUUUAUAAGGUAAGGAUAAAUGUUUUAAAAGAUUCAAACAACAACCAGAUACAGAGUCAAGCAAGGACGUGCACGAAUGAUAAUACAAAGUUAGCAAGGAAGAGAUAAGAAACUAGAAAUUCCAAUACAAUUAGUAGAGAAGGAAAUAACGCUAAGCAUGAAUCAAGAGCAUACGUCGAAACGGAACUAAUCUCUAGAAUUUAGUUUCUAACGUCCCCAAAACCUCGUAAUUCGCGUUAACCUAUCACUUCUAUUUCGUUUAUGAUAACCCAUUAGUGUUCCAUAUACAUAAAUCAUUAGUAUUAAGUUGGCCAAACUUGAUACCAUGAGGUAUGCAAUGGUAAACUAAUAGCGUUAAUCAUUAGACAGUCAUGCAUAUAAAACAAAAACUCUCGUCACCAAGACAAGUCUUAAGGCAUGACAGACACUCAGAGUAUGCAAUGAAGCAUAGUCAGUCCACUCCCAAGGCUCUACAGGAAGGACUGCUCUGAUACCAUAUUGUAACGUCCCAUUUAGCAAAAUACCUUGCUUAAGUCAGGGUAUUUCUACUAGAAAGAACGUUACGUGACCUUUUCUAAUAUUAACUACUUAAUUACUGAGCCUUUGUAUCGAUUUCGCGUUUCAGUUUUAAGAAAAUGCCAGAAAAUUUUGUUUUUAUUCAUUCAAGACAUGUAUCAAAGAUAAGCAUUGCAAAUAAUAAUAACAAUCAUAUAAGUAUUAUUAAUAGUAAUUCUUAUAUAUAAGAAGUCAUAUAAACCCAAAUACAACACCUACCCCUCUGUUAAAAUAAAACCUCAAAGGACAAGAGUGAGGGGACUCUAUGAAAGCAAUUAAAACCAUAAAGAAAACCUACUAAUCACUUGCAGCUUCAUAUUGCGUCUUCAAAACUGUGUCACUGAAAGGGUGGAAAAUUUGGGGGUGAGAACCAAACCACAUGUUCUCAGUAGAGGUCGAGAAUGCCGUGAAAGUAAAGAAUAAAGUGCAAAUAGUUAAUUUCAUUCAGAGACAUCUAAAAAAAAUUAACCUUUUUUUAAAAGCAUUAGUUAAUUCUUCAAAAUCCUAGACCCAUAUUUUCUUUAUAAAACUCUUAAAAAUUUCCGAGACUGUAUGAAUGACCAACCUGUUCCAAACAUAGGUUCAUUAAGUCUAUGCUGAACCAGUUUUAUUUUUCAUACUUUACUAGACCAUAUCAUAAAAGAAGUUACCUACGCGGUAUAAAUGAUCAUCCUGCUCCAAGCAUAGGUUCAUUAAGUCUAUGCUGAACCAGUCAGAUACUUUAUACAAAACUAGACCUCAAACGUACUAGUCACGGCCUCAGGCCCAAACAACUCAAUCAACAUCCAAUCACUACAAUCCAAACAAUUAGUUACAAACACAGGUAAUGAGGUUCAAACACAA